GGCGCCGUACCCAAGUGGUAAGGGAGAAGUCUGCAAAACUUUCAUGCAACGGUUCGAAUCCGUUCGGCGCCU
RNAcentral lists this transfer RNA (72 nucleotides) under Treponema sp. RNAcentral describes it as "tRNA-Cys". It matches the Rfam family "tRNA". From Rfam's summary of the family: Transfer RNA (tRNA) molecules are approximately 80 nucleotides in length. The record is from RNAcentral. Lineage: Bacteria; Pseudomonadati; Spirochaetota; Spirochaetia; Treponematales; Treponemataceae.